Transfer RNA from Ovis aries (sheep), 72 nucleotides. It matches the Rfam family "tRNA". From Rfam's summary of the family: Transfer RNA (tRNA) molecules are approximately 80 nucleotides in length. Their secondary structure includes four short double-helical elements and three loops (D, anti-codon, and T loops). NCBI's taxonomy places the organism in Eukaryota, Metazoa, Chordata, Mammalia, Artiodactyla, Bovidae. The record is from Rfam.
UCCCUGGUAGCUUAGACAGUAAAGCGACUGCCUGCAAUGCGGGAGACCCAGGUUCAAUCCCUGGGUUGGGAA